GAGUUUGAUCCUGGCUCAGGACGAACGCCGGCGGCGUGCUUAACACAUGCAAGUCGAGCGAUGAAGCUCCUUCGGGAGUGAAUUAGCGGCGGACGGGUGAGUAACACGUGGGUAACCUGCCUCAUAGAGGGGAAUAGCCUUUCGAAAGGAAGAUUAAUACCGCAUAAGAUUGUAGUACCGCAUGGUACAGCAAUUAAAGGAGUAAUCCGCUAUGAGAUGGACCCGCGUCGCAUUAGCUAGUUGGUGAGGUAACGGCUCACCAAGGCGACGAUGCGUAGCCGACCUGAGAGGGUGAUCGGCCACAUUGGGACUGAGACACGGCCCAGACUCCUACGGGAGGCAGCAGUGAGGAAUAUUGCACAAUGGGGGAAACCCUGAUGCAGCAACGCCGCGUGAGUGAUGACGGCCUUCGGGUUGUAAAACUCUGUCUUUGGGGACGAUAAUGACGGUACCCAAGGAGGAAGCCACGGCUAACU
Molecule: ribosomal RNA, 476 nt
Filed under: uncultured bacterium
Lineage: Bacteria
Description: bacterial SSU rRNA
Rfam family: Bacterial small subunit ribosomal RNA
Source: RNAcentral